UUGAACCUGAGAGUUUGAUCCUGGCUCAGAACGAACGCUGGCGGCAUGCCUAACACAUGCAAGUCGAACGAGGGCUUCGGCCCUAGUGGCGCACGGGUGAGUAACACGUGGGAACCUGCCUUUCGGUUCGGGAUAACGUCUGGAAACGGACGCUAACACCGGAUACGUCCUUCGGGAG
This 178-nucleotide ribosomal RNA is filed under the name Azospirillum brasilense. RNAcentral's name for it is "partial 16S ribosomal RNA". It matches the Rfam family "Bacterial small subunit ribosomal RNA", at positions 1 to 188 of the family's 1533-position model. Lineage: Bacteria; Pseudomonadati; Pseudomonadota; Alphaproteobacteria; Rhodospirillales; Azospirillaceae. The record is from RNAcentral.